AGAUGCGAUCAUACCAGCACUAAAGCACCGGAUCCCAUCAGAACUCCGAAGUUAAGCUUGCUUGGGCGAGAGUAGUACUAGGAUGGGUGACCUCUUGGGAAGUCCUCGGGUUGCAUUCC
Molecule: ribosomal RNA, 119 nt
Filed under: Aegilops tauschii subsp. strangulata
Lineage: Eukaryota; Viridiplantae; Streptophyta; Magnoliopsida; Poales; Poaceae
Source: RNAcentral